RNAcentral lists this transfer RNA (67 nucleotides) under Muscidifurax raptorellus. RNAcentral's name for it is "tRNA-Ser". It matches the Rfam family "tRNA". From Rfam's summary of the family: Transfer RNA (tRNA) molecules are approximately 80 nucleotides in length. Their secondary structure includes four short double-helical elements and three loops (D, anti-codon, and T loops). The record is from RNAcentral. Lineage: Eukaryota; Metazoa; Arthropoda; Insecta; Hymenoptera; Pteromalidae.
AAUUAUUUAGUUAAAUAUAAUAUAUGACUUGAAAUCAUAAGAUAGAAGUAAAUUCUUUUAAUAAUUU